This 453-nucleotide ribosomal RNA is filed under the name uncultured bacterium. Its description in RNAcentral is "bacterial SSU rRNA". It matches the Rfam family "Bacterial small subunit ribosomal RNA", at positions 1052 to 1504 of the family's 1533-position model. The record is from RNAcentral.
UCGUCAGCUCGUGUCGUGAGGAUGUAGGGUUAAGUCCCGCAACGAGCACAACCCUUAUGGUCAGUAGCCAGCACGUUAUGGUGGGCACUCUGGCAAGACUGCCCGGGAUAACCGGGAGGAAGGUGGGGAUGACGUCAAAUCAUCAUGCCCCUUAUGAUUUGGGCAACACACGUGCUACAAUGGCGUAACAGAGAGAAGCGAUCCCGCGAGGGGGAGCAAAUCUUCAAAUAUCGUCUCAGUUCGGACUGCAGUCUGCAACUCGACUGCACGAAGCUGGAAUUGCUAGUAAUCGCGAAUCAGCAUGUCGCGGUGAAUACGUUCCCGGGUCUUGUACACACCGCCCGUCACACCAUGGGAGUCAGCAACGCCCGAAGUCAGUGACCCAACCUUUCAGGAGGGAGCUGCCGAAGGCGGGGCGGAUAACUGGGGUGAAGUCGUAACAAGGUAACCGUA